CGCAGAGUGGUGCAGUAGUCUGAGUAUUGGACUAUGAUUUUGGAGACCAGGGUUCAAUUCCCUGCUCAGCCA
Phrynosoma platyrhinos (Desert horned lizard) is the source of this 72-nucleotide non-coding RNA. The record is from the annotation of a GenBank genome assembly. NCBI's taxonomy places the organism in Eukaryota, Metazoa, Chordata, Lepidosauria, Squamata, Phrynosomatidae.